AACGAACGCUGGCGGCAGGCUUAACACAUGCAAGUCGAACGGGCACCUUCGGGUGUCAGUGGCAGACGGGUGAGUAACGCGUGGGAACGUACCCUUCGGUUCGGAAUAACCCAGGGAAACUUGGGCUAACACCGGAUACGUCCGCAAGGAGAAAGAUUUAUCGCCGAAGGAUCGGCCCGCGUCGGAUUAGCUAGUUGGUGGGGUAAUGGCCCACCAAGGCGACGAUCCGUAGCUGGUCUGAGAGGAUGANCAGCCACACUGGGACUGAGACACGGCCCAGACUCCUACGGGAGGCAGCAGUGGGGAAUAUUGGACAAUGGGCGAAAGCCUGAUCCAGCCAUGCCGCGUGAGUGAAGAAGGCCUUAGGGUUGUAAAGCUCUUUCAGCGGGGAAGAUAAUGACGGUACCCGCAGAAGAAGUCCCGGCUAACUUCGUGCCAGCCGCCGCCGUAA
Molecule: ribosomal RNA, 451 nt
Filed under: uncultured bacterium
Lineage: Bacteria
Description: bacterial SSU rRNA
Rfam family: Bacterial small subunit ribosomal RNA
Source: RNAcentral